RNAcentral lists this ribosomal RNA (321 nucleotides) under Isochrysis galbana. RNAcentral's name for it is "partial Bacterial large subunit ribosomal RNA". It matches the Rfam family "Bacterial large subunit ribosomal RNA", at positions 801 to 1120 of the family's 2925-position model. The record is from RNAcentral. Lineage: Eukaryota; Haptophyta; Isochrysidales; Isochrysidaceae.
GGGAUGACCUGUGGGGAGGAGUUAAAGUCUAAUCAAACCCGGAGAUAUCUCGUUCUCCCCGAAAUAGCUUUAGGGCUAGCCUCACGUUACACCCGUUGGGGGUAGAGCGACUGGAUGGGGCUGGGGGGCCACAAGCCUACCCACUCCAACCAAACUCCGAAUACCAACGGGCUCUGUCGUGGGAGUCAGUCCACGGGAGAUAAUUUCCGUGGUCGAAAGGGAAACAGCCCAGACCGCCGGUUAAGGCCCCUAAUCGAAUCUAAGUUCGAAAGGUGGUCGAACUGCCGUGACAGCCAGGAUGUUGGCUUAGAAGCAGCCAUC